Non-coding RNA from Sus scrofa (pig), 8515 nucleotides. The record is from RefSeq and is a predicted model, not a curated record. Lineage: Eukaryota; Metazoa; Chordata; Mammalia; Artiodactyla; Suidae.
GUUCCCUUUUCUCCACAUCCUCUCCAAUAUUUGUUAUUUGUGUUCCUUUUUGAUGGUAGCCAUUCUGACUGGUAGGAGGUGAUAUCUCAUUGUGGUUUUAACAUGCGUUUCUCUGAUGAUUAACGAAGUUAAGCAUCCUUUCAUGAGCCUGUUGGCCAUCUGUGUGUCUUUUUUUGAAAAAUGUCUGAGUCUUCUGCCUAUUUCUUAAUUGGGUUGUUUGUUUUUUUGAUGUUGAGUUGUAUGAGCUGUUUUUUGUUGUUGUUGUUGGUCGUAUCACUUGCAGAUACUUUCUCCCAUUCAGUAGGUUGUCUUUUCAUGGUGUGGAUGAAUUUCUUUGCUGUGCAAAAGCUUUUAAGCUUAAUUAGGUCCCAUUCGUCCAUGGUUUUUUGAUGAGAGCUAUUCGUCUUAGUAAGGAUGUCUAGGACAUGAUGAGUCCCUUUUAUCUUGAUGCUCUAAGGAUUCUUUUUCUUUGGUUUUAGACAGUUUGAUUGUGAUAUGUGGGUGUGGGUCUCUUUGAGUUUAUCCUAACCAGACCUUAAAUUUGACCUUCUUGAAUGUGCAGGUUAAUGUUUUUCAUCAAAUUUGGAAAGUUUUUUGCCAUUAUUUCUUCAAAUGUUCUUUCUGCCCUUUUGUCUCCUCUCAUUCUGAGAUGCCCAUUAAGCAUGUAUUGGAAUUUUUGAUGGUGCUCCACAGAUCUCUGAGGCUUUGUUCAGUUUUUUCUUCCUUUUUUUUCUUCCUAUUCCUUACACUGGAUAAUCUUAAUUGACCCACCUUCAAGCUUCUUCCACCUGCUCAAAUCUAAUGUGGCGCUCCUCUAGUAAAUUUUCUGUUGUAGUUAUUAUAGUUUUGAACUACAGAAUUGCAUUUUGGUUCUUUUUCAUAAUUUCAUCUCUUUAUUGCUGUUCUCUAUUUGGUGAGACAUUAUCAUGCUCCCCAUCAGUUCUUUAGACACCGUUUCCUUUGUAUCUUUGAACAUAUUAAAAUAAGUGAUUUAAACUCUUUAUCUAGUAAGUCCAGUGUCUGAGCUGUCUCAGGAAAAAAAUCUCUGUUAAUUCUUUCUCUCCAGUGUAUACCCUAUACAUUCUUUGCUUCACAUGCCUCAUAGGUUUUUCUGUUGAAGAGUUGGCAUUUUGAAUAUUGUGAGGUGGUAACUUGGGAAAUCAGCAUCUACCUUGUUGCCAAGCUUUGUUGUUACUGUUUGGUGCAAACCCUUUUCUGAAUUAAUUCUGUAAAAUCGAUCAUCUUUUUCAUGUAUAGACAUGAAACUGUCUGCGCAGUUAACUCAGUGAUCAGUUAAUGAGUGGAGAGAGAUUUCAUUGCAUUUCCAUAGCCAGUGCAUCUCCCAGUCUUUGCCCAGGGCUCUGUGUGCAGGAGGGGCUCAUCUUCACCCUGGCCACUCAGCCAGGGAGUUGACAGCUCCGCCUUAGCUUUCACUUCCGGGUCCAGCGGCGUAUGGAGGUCAGCCAGCAGCGAGAGCCUGGGGCCUUCUUAGGUCUUGUGUGAGCAUCCACAUAGCCCUGCGCACACUCCCAGCCCUGCCCAGGCGCAUGUACGUGGCCUUCUAAAUCCCCAGGAAGGUGUCACGGCUUUUCAAAGCUGCCUUGGAGGUUCAUUCCUCAGCUUUUCCUCCUCAGCUUUUUGGCUGGCUAAUUGUCUGUCCCAACUGUUACUCACUGCCUCGGGCAGCCGCAAAGCACCCAGCCAGAUAGUUAAACAGUUGCCUUUAAUUUUUUUUUCUUUUUUUGAUAAACAUCCCCAGGGAAAAGGAUAUUUACGUGGAGUAAAUUCCAAGUCAGGGGAUAUAAAGAUGACUCUGCAAGCGGAGUCUUCUAGGGAACUACUGGAGACGUCGAUGAUGACAGUUCCUUGGGAAUGAAACUUCAGAGGAGCUCCAGCUCUGUUUUGAUCCGUCUGAUGGCUGUCAGGCUGCGUUUUUCCUAUGGUCAGUUUUCAAGGCAACCAUGGAGCCGGUGGUAGGGAAAUUGGAAUAGGGCAAGUUAAAACCCCACAAAUCUCACUGUUCUUACCAAGGUUUAGCCAUUUAUUGUGAAUAAAAGCUUCCCAGAUGACUGCAAGCCUUUGGUUAACUUUGUGAGUUCUGGCACAGUUGGUUUUGACAAUUUACUGCCAGUUUUUUUUGGAAGAGAGAAUUUUUGGAUGUAUCCCCCAUUACCAGUUCGAUUUCUGUUCUGGAAGAGCACCCUGGCCCCAGAGUGUAGAAGACACGGAGGUCUGGGGAAAUGCUGGGGUCAGGAAGCUGAGUCGGGGGUGUUGUCGUCGACAGGUGACAGAUGCUAGACACCUGUGCUGAGGUGUGGCUCUGAGGAUCAUUCGCAUAAUGACACGUAUGUAUUGAGUGAUUAGUUUGCUGAGUUCUGUGCUCAGUACUUUACAUACUUUUUUGUACAUCAUCAUACCUGUCUUAGAGAUGAUAAAACUACAUUUAGAAAAGUUCAAUACCUUGCCCAAGUCGCCCAGCUAAAGCGGGGUUAGAGCAGGUUUUUGAAUCUUUAUUAGUCUGAACUAAAAAUCCUUGCUCAUGGGAUCUCCUGUGCGGCGCAGCAGGAUUGGUGGCAUCUUGGGUGCUUCCCUGGCCCAGCACAGUGGGUUAAGGAUCUGGCACCGCCUCACCUUAGGUCGCAGCUAUGGCUUGGACCUGAUCCCUGGCCCUGGAAGUCCAUACACCACAGGGUGGCCAAAAAAGAAAGGAAAAAAAAAAAAAAAAAAAAACCCUUGCUCAUAAUCACUACCUAUAUGUCUAGAAGCAGGCUCCGUGACUUCAUUAGGAAGAGAACUUUGUUCAGCAAAUAUUUUUGGUGUUGAUCUGUGUGCCAGGUGCUGUCGCCAGGGUCAGGGAUAUAGCUGUGCACAGGACAGGAGAAAACAUCCCUGUUCUCAGGGAGCUUACAUUCCAGUGGGUGGAGGCAAUAAACAAGAUGUAUCCGCAAACUUUGUUUUAUGUUGGGUAGGGAUUGAGUGUUGAAAUAAAGCACAGUGAGGAGAGGAAAGAGAGGGCCUUGCUGGAAAGUAAUGCUCGAGUCAGGAUCUGAAGCUGGGAGGAGAACCAUGUGGGUAUCUAGGUGAAUAGCAGUGUAGACAGAAGAAAGGGCAAGGGCAGGGGUCCGAGGAGGAAUGGGUCUGGCUCGUGUGAGGAGCAGCGAGGGCCGGUGGCGAUGGGGUGGAGCCGAGUGGACUGGAAGGAGGAAGGUGACAAGGUCAGAGGGCUCAUGACGGUCCAGAGGCAUGGACCUCACAGGCCACCCACCGAGUGUGACUUGGAGGAAUCCUUGGAUUGAUUACAGGGAGACGAGGCCAGAAACCAGGCGGCCAGGCGGGAAGUCUGCAGUGACCUAGGAGAGAGGAGGCGGUGGCUUGGACCAGGGUGGCUGCCGUGGGAAGGGGAGGAGUCAUCAGCUUCUGCCUCCUCCCUCUUCUGAGGGUCAGGCUUCCCGGAUUUACUUAUUUCCCUGGAGGUGGGGAGAGAGAAGGAAAGUCGUCAAGAGUGACUCCAAGUCCUGGGACCUUAGUAACUGGCAGGAUGGAGUUUCCCUUGCUGAGAGGAGGACGAGUGGGGGGCCGAGGUUUGGGGAGUCAGAGCAGGUGCCGGUUCUGGCAGUGUCUGUUGAGUUACCUGUUCCGUGUUCUUGUGGAGCUUUCCAGCGGAGAGUCUUAGGAGCAGGUCUGGUGUUCAGGGAGGGCACGGAGCCUGGGUGGGCACCGUGGACAAGAGGACCAAGAAAUGGCCAUUCAUAGAGCCUAGUGGUGAAAGGGGUAGGGGAGAAAAAUCUCAGGCGCAAAUACUCAAAAAGCAUAUAGCCCUUUGUAUCUCCCCAGCUUCAUCUCACACAUUGUCCACCUCUACAGAGGCACCCCUCCCUCUGCAGGAGUCACAUUGAUGACCUUGAAUUAUAAAAAGAAAUAAAGUGAUAGAGCAAGAAGCAUGGGACACUGUCUAGUGCCCUUCUAAGCCGGCUCUGUGCCCUGUACCGACUUAUAGGCCGGCUCACCAAACGGGUACCUGCCGAGAGGGCAGGGAAGCCUGGCAUUAAUUCUGAAAAGACUUCUACACAAAUAUGUUCAACUUGACAUAAAUCAGCAUUUGAAAUUUGAACAGAGGGAAAGCCUCUUUUUGGUGAAAUGCAUUCAGGUGGACUCGCUCUUUGCCCAGGGAUGUUGGGACAGAUGAGACUUCACUGUGAAAGGCAAGUUGGGAAGAGUCGGGAAGCAGCGGAAGGCACUGGGACAGACCUCAUUCACAUCCUCCUCCUCCAAGGGAGCUUGCCAGGCGCCUAGGAAGACACACUUCACGUCGGAUGUAAAUGAGCGCUCUCUGUUCAUGGUCUUCCCAGGGACUGGCCCGCUGCUUCUCCAUACGGGCACCAUCUCGAACCAUCUUUUCAUUCGGUUGCCACAUACGGUUGGCUCAACCCAACUAAUCUUUUCUCUGUCGCGUCUCGUUGCUGCAAUCUGUGGUUCCAGCUUUUAGAGACUUAAUAAACGGAUGUGUUUUCCAGCCCCGAGGAAUGAAAUGAAGAUUGUCACUUGGCGGUGUUCUCCGCCAUCAUGUUUUUGUUGCCGUCGUAGAAAUGGAGCAGAAAAUUACGGCAGCUCCUUUAUUGCCCAACUGCCCGCGCCAUUUCCAGUCCUUGGGAAGGAAAUCAAUUGUUUCUGCAAAUUUCCUACAGACAUUUGGUUAUUAUCUGUUGAAAUCCUCUGACCAAGCCUUAGUUCUGGGACAGAGAAAGAAACCACUUUUCUCGUCUCUGUGAAAAAUCAACUGCUACGGAAUCCUUUCAUUGUGUCUCUGCCGCUCACUCUGUCACAGGACAUUAAUGAAAGAGAGAUGCUUCUUUGUCAUGCAGCUUGACACUUUGUUCGAAACUUAUUUCUCGACUAUUCCUAAGCUUAACUCUGGACCAAAUGCAGUGCUUACAACACUCAGAUAAGGAAAUGUUUAAUCCCACUUUCUCGAUGAGACAACUGAGGCCAAAGAACUUAGAUAUGUCGCUUAAAGCCGGUGAGUUUUCUUCACAACAGUGUCCACUGCCCCUCCUGAGGUCCGUAUCACCUCCCAGGAAGAAUUUAUUUUUCACACUUUGGCAUUUUGUGUAGGAAUCACAAUGUGAGUAAAAAUAUCUCACAGUUUCUGCAGGGUAAGAAUCCAGUGUUGUCUCUGUAGUGGCUCCCGUCGCUGAUGAAGUGUGGGUUCGACCCCUGGCCUGGGAACGUCUGUACGCCGAGGGUUCGGCCCUGAAAAGACCAAAAGAGAAAAAGUUUGGAAGUCACUUGGCAGACAUGGGGAGCAUGUUGGCAGUCAUCUGCCAAGGGUAUAGACUGAAUAAUUAGGGAUGGAUUUUGAUACUGCUCAUAGCUGUCAACUUACUUAGCUGGGCAAGUCACUGACCAGCGAUGGCUUCAGUCCUGGGAGGCGCUGGCACAGGGGUGUCCCCAGCCACGUGUGGAGAAGAGGCACAGGCGGAAGACUGGGCAGGUGCUAGUCUGGGGCUGGUGGGAGAGUUAUUUCCUGAUCCAGCUUCUGCUGCUUCCAAAGGACUCAGAAUGCGGCAGCCUGGGAGGAAUGAGGCUGGGAGCUGGGGGAGCUGGGGCACCAAAGAGGGGCGGGUUCCCUGCGGACUGGAGAGGCUUCCAAUCUCCCGCCAGCACCUGGGGGCCUCAAACCGCAGAAACUCAAAUUCCCACAGUUCUGAAGGCUGAAGUCCAAGGGCAAGGUGUGGCAGGGCUGCUUUCCUCUGCGGCGUCUCGCCCCCUGUCCUCACAGGUCCCCUCCUCUGCCUGUUAGUGAUAAAUUUCCUCUUCUGAUCAGGACACUGGUCAUAGUGGAUCGGGGCCCACCCUAAUGACCUCAUGUUAACUUACCACUUGAAAUACCCCAUAUCCAAACGCAGUCACAUGCCGAGGAGCUGGGGUUAGAUUUCAACCUGUGAACUUGGGGGGCAUGCAGUUCCGCCCGUAACACCAAUUUUCAAUGGUUUUUCAGAUUCCUUUUUAAUGUGCCCCACAAGAGGGGGAAAACCCCAUUUUGAGCGCAAACACCCAAUGAAUCUACUUAUUUAUAAAUCAUAUUCUCCUGGACUAAUAUAUUUUGCACACUGGAAAGCAUACCCGUACAUAGACAAUUUAACGGGCAGACAAGAUGGAAAUAGAUGUUCUGUUUUGGGUCCCCUGGGACGGAGACCCCCUGGUCCUCAAAGGGGGACCAUUGCCUUUGGGGGGACCGAGUCUGGAUCUCCAGAUUGACACACUUAUUCCUUAGCUUUGAACACCUUCUGUAAGAUCCCAGCCACGGCUCCCGUCACCCUCUCUCUCUCGAAGGAAACGUGCCCUCCCUCCGGACCCGUCUCGUGUCAGUGUGUAGUUACCUCAGCAAUGGAAUUGCCUCCAGUUCCAAGUCCCAAGGGCACGCAUCCAUCCCCCCGCAGGCUCACCACCCCUGUGUUCCAUUCGCCCCCCCCCCAACCGUUUUCUAUUUGAUUGAGUUUACAUUCUUCCCGGCUCCUCACCGAGGCUGUGAACGCCCAGGGGGACAGGUUCGUCUUCGACUCUGUUUUCCUCGUGCCCAGCGUGGUGCUGGGGAGCAGCAGGGGCUUCCCAGAUUGCUGACGUCCUGGCUUUUCUACUUCAUCACAAGGCAAAACAGAAAAUUAACAACUCACUAUCGCUUUAGAGGUUAAAAAUUCAAGCCUUGCAAUUAAGCCAAAGAUAGAUAUGACUAUCUAUCACAAUAAAAAAUGAAUAGCCCUCUGAAUUGCCCUUGUAGAGAGGCCUCUGGGAGUAAAAAGACAUACAGGUCAAUACGUUUGACCGCUGUUGGUGUUCCCAGUGUGCAGGGCUCAGGGCUGCAGGCAAGGUGGUAUCCAGCCGCAACCUCAGCUCAGAGCUGCUGCAGGUGAAUUGACCUGUAAUGUUGCCUGAACUGUCAGCAGAAAAGCAAAGACAAGAUGUGAAAGUUAUCCUAAGGGGGAGGUCCAAGGACCAUGGCGAAGAGGCUGCCACAGUCCUGCCCACGGAGGAGAGGAAAAGCCUUGUUAGCGAGUGUCUGUUACGUGCCAGACACUGCUUAGCUUUCCCUGCCUGAGCUCCUUCAAUCCUCCAACACCACCAAGUAGGAAACAUCCGUGCUUCGCAGAUGCUGUUACUUCGAGACGUGAGGUAGUCGUCCCAGUAUCACAGAGCUAGGAGGGGAGUGGAGGAGCCGGAUUUGAACCCGGGGCUGUCUGACGGGGGGAGACGGUGGCUUCAUCUAUCAUCCUGCUGGGACCGGUGGAUCCCAGGCGCUUCCCCAUCUUCCAGCAUCUUUCCUUGACUCUCUCACCUCUUCUAGGCAGUGCCUCUGCCCUAUUCCCCGGUGGCGCUCUCUUCUGAUCAAGGCGGGCUGGCUGGACAAAGGCGGUAAUUACUGACCGAGGACCAGCCCCCCUCUCUGGCGAUCGACGUCCAUUCAGACUCGGGUCUCGAGGGGACCGUGUCGGACCCAGGAUGGAGAGAGAACCAAGGGCGGGCAGGCCUGUAGGACCUUGCCAGAUCAUGUCAGGCUGGCAGCCGUCUCUCCUGGGCCGUAUGGAGGCAUGGUGGGUUUUGUGUGGCUUUUGUCUGGGUUUAGUCCCAACCUCAGUGGGAGACGAACGAUGGGCUAUUAGACACCCUUACCUUAGGCUAUGAUGGACAGAACACCAACACGCCUAAGAACAGACUCUAUCUGUUGCUUAAUUAGAAGGAGGAGGCGUGAGUUCUGCUUUAAAGAAGAGCCUCUCAGAGUUCCCCUUGUGGCUCAUGGAACCCGACUAGUAUCCAUGAGGACGCAGGUUCGAUCCCUGGCCUCGCUCAGUGGGUUAAGGAUCCGCUGUUGCUGCGAGUGGUAGUGUAGGUCGAAGAUGUGGCUUGGAUUCAGCAUUGCUGUGGUUGUGGUGUAGGCAGGCAGCUGCAGCCCCCAUUCAACCCCUAGCCUGGGAGCUUCCUACAUCACAGGUGUAGCCAUAAGAAAAAAAGAGAGCGAGAGAAGAGUCUUUCUCGUGGUGCUGGCCUUCCCUUCCUGGGUCACCUGGGAUUUGAGGUCGGUUGUGCUCUUGAGUAUGUUCUUAGUGAACUUAGUUCACUGGCCGGAGACUUUCCCUUGAGGUUUCUUUGCCAAUGGACCCGGCUUCUAGGGCCGAGUGGCUGGUGGGGCUUUGUGGGCUAAGGGAGAGCUCCCGGUAGGCCUCAUCAAAACUGCACACCUUGUCACCAGAGGGGGCUCUGGGCAUUUUGACACUGUCUGAAACCUGCCCUCUAGUCUUUCCAAGUCAAGGGGACAUCAUCUCUCCACUCUUUGGAGCCCCAUUCACCCUUGAAAAAACGGAUCAAAUUUUCAACUUGACAAUAAGUGCCAGGCAAAUGCCUUCAUGGGUGCAGAACCCCCGCCCCCGCAGGCUCAGUGAUGGACAGUGGGGGACACAGACUCUAAAACCGAAAAACAUCCCAAGAAAUAGCAACAACAACAACAACAACAACAACAAAA